This 204-nucleotide unclassified non-coding RNA is filed under the name Alicyclobacillus tolerans. RNAcentral's name for it is "Bacterial large signal recognition particle RNA". The stretch from base 73 to 172 matches the Rfam family "Bacterial small signal recognition particle RNA". The record is from RNAcentral. Lineage: Bacteria; Bacillati; Bacillota; Bacilli; Caryophanales; Alicyclobacillaceae.
GUGGGUUCGAAUCCCACUCUCUCCGCCAUAAACUUCAACAAGCAAGAAUACGCGCUUUCUCACCAAAGGCUGAACUGGGUCCCGCGCGGCGGAAACUUUCGAACCGUGUCAGGUCCUGACGGAAGCAGCACUAAGAAAGACCUUUCGGGUGACGCGGGGUCACCUGGUUUGGCUUUUGGUGAGAGUGCGCGUUUUGCCAUCCAC